GCAUAUCAAUAAGCGGAGGAAAAGAAACUAACAAGGAUUCCCCUAGUAACUGCGAGUGAAGCGGGAAAAGCUCAAAUUUAAAAUCUGGCAGUCUUUGGCUGUCCGAGUUGUAAUCUGGAGAAGCGUCUUCCGCGCUGGACCGUGUACAAGUCUCCUGGAACGGAGCGUCAUAGAGGGUGAGAAUCCCGUCUUUGACACGGACUACCAGUGCUUUGUGAUGCGCUCUCAAAGAGUCGAGUUGUUUGGGAAUGCAGCUCAAAAUGGGUGGUAAACUCCAUCUAAAGCUAAAUAUUGGCGAGAGACCGAUAGCGAACAAGUACCGUGAGGGAAAGAUGAAAAGCACUUUGGAAAGAGAGUUAAACAGUACGUGAAAUUGCUGAAAGGGAAACGCUUGAAGUCAGUCGCGUUUGCUAGGACUCAGCCUUGCCUCGGCUUGGUGCACUUCCUAGUAAACGGGCCAGCAUCACUUUUGGCUGCGGGAAAAAGGUCAGAGGAAUGUGGCACCUUCGGGUGUGUUAUAGCCUCUGGCUGCAUACCGUGGCUGGGAGUGAGGAACUCAGCACGCCUUACGGCGGGGCUUCGGCCACCUUCGUGCUUAGGAUGCUGGCGUAAUGGCUUUAAACGACCCGUCUUGAAACACGGACCAAGGAGUCUAACAUGCCUGCGAGUGUUUGGGUGGAAAACCCGAGCGCGUAAUGAAAGUGAAAGUUGGGACCUCUGUCGUGGAGGGCACCGACGCCCGGACCAGACCUUCGGUGACGGAUCUGCGGUAGAGCAUGUAUGUUGGGACCCGAAAGAUGGUGAACUAUGCCUGAAUAGGGUGAAGCCAGAGGAAACUCUGGUGGAGGCUCGUAGCGAUUCUGACGUGCAAUCGAUCGUCAAAUUUGGGUAUAGGGGCGAAAGACUAAUCGAACCAUCUAGUAGCUGGUUCC
This 932-nucleotide ribosomal RNA is filed under the name Phanerochaete velutina. RNAcentral describes it as "partial large subunit ribosomal RNA". It matches the Rfam family "Eukaryotic large subunit ribosomal RNA", at positions 38 to 958 of the family's 3401-position model. The record is from RNAcentral. Lineage: Eukaryota; Fungi; Basidiomycota; Agaricomycetes; Polyporales; Phanerochaetaceae.